Molecule: transfer RNA, 75 nt
Filed under: Cyanobacteria bacterium REEB67
Lineage: Bacteria; Bacillati; Cyanobacteriota
Description: tRNA-Pro
Rfam family: tRNA
About the family: Transfer RNA (tRNA) molecules are approximately 80 nucleotides in length. Their secondary structure includes four short double-helical elements and three loops (D, anti-codon, and T loops). Further hydrogen bonds mediate the characteristic L-shaped molecular structure. tRNAs have two regions of fundamental functional importance: the anti-codon, which is responsible for specific mRNA codon recognition, and the 3' end, to which the tRNAs corresponding amino acid is attached (by aminoacyl-tRNA synthetases). tRNAs cope with the degeneracy of the genetic code in two manners: having more than one tRNA (with a specific anti-codon) for a particular amino acid; and 'wobble' base-pairing, i.e. permitting non-standard base-pairing at the 3rd anti-codon position.
Source: RNAcentral
CGGGGAUUAGUUCAUCGGCAGAACGCUCGCUUUGGGAGCGAGAUGUACUAGGUUCAAUUCCUAGAUCUCCGACCA